UAGGGAAUCUUCGGCAAUGGGGGGAACCCUGACCGAGCAACGCCGCGUGAGUGAAGAAGGUUUUCGGAUCGUAAAGCUCUGUUGUUAAGGAAGAACGAGUGUGAGAAUGGAAAGUUCAUGCUGUGACGGUACUUAACCAGAAAGGGACGGCUAACUACGUGCCAGCAGCCGCGGUAAUACGUAGGUCCCGAGCGUUGUCCGGAUUUAUUGGGCGUAAAGCGAGCGCAGGCGGUUAGAAAAGUCUGAAGUGAAAGGCAGUGGCUCAACCAUUGUAGGCUUUGGAAACUGUUUAACUUGAGUGCAGAAGGGGAGAGUGUAAUUCCAUGUGUAGCGGUGAAAUGCGUAGAUAUAUGGAGGAACACCGGUGGCGAAAGCGGCUCUCUGGUCUGUACCUGACGCUGAGGCUCGAAAGCGUGGGGAGCGAACAGG
RNAcentral lists this ribosomal RNA (429 nucleotides) under Bacteroidota bacterium. RNAcentral describes it as "Bacteroidetes bacterium partial 16S ribosomal RNA". It matches the Rfam family "Bacterial small subunit ribosomal RNA", at positions 355 to 776 of the family's 1533-position model. The record is from RNAcentral. Lineage: Bacteria; Pseudomonadati; Bacteroidota.